UCGCCACUGCUCUCCUUUUCUUCGAAAAACAGAAGGAAGCUCAUAUAAUCUCCUCUUCGAAUGUUAAACAGAUAACUUUUAUUCAUCUUUUUCGAGUAAUUGCAUAUCUUAGAAAAAGAAAGUGUUGAGGUAGAAGAGUGUUUCUUAAGAAAUCCUGUUCUGAAAGCUGACCUUGAGAGGCUAGGGAUUUUCCAUAAUGUUCGCACUUUUCGAGAGGUCAUCAUCAGAUAUGAAAAAGAUGAGGAUGAGUUCUUCUUUGCUCAUAAUCUGAUGUGUUUGUUCCUCAUCGAUUUCCAAAACAAACUCCUUAUUGAAAAGGAAGUAGAUUCUUUAUCUACUUCCCUUUAUUUUUUUAAAAUCCCAUUAGCGUCUCUUUCUCUGAAGAGAAAAGAUGAAAACUUAUGCAUAUGCUGCGCUACUCAUCGUCUGUUUGUUCGAUAAUUGUAUUGCCAGAGGACUUAACUUGGGAUUAUGCGACAAUAAGCAAAUUUCUUGCAACUGCGGGCAAAACCAAAUACGAGCUAAAGUGAAACAGUGUUGCCCUUUUGACGUGCUUAACUUUGUGUGAGGGACAUCUUUUUAUGAAAGAGGAAUGUUGUUGGGUUUGAUGGCAUCACAAGGAGAAAAAAAUCUAGAAUAAUUUUUAAAUUUCUAGAAGAAUUUCUUUAUAUUCAAAAUUUCUGAAUAGCUUAAAUAUGAUUAAUUACAUAAUUCAAAUGACACAAAAUAGUUCGUUAAACUUGUAACUAAACGAAAUACAUGUCUCAAUUUUAUCUAUUCAUUAAUUAAUAAAGCAUAAAACAAUCUUGCC
This is a non-coding RNA of Parasteatoda tepidariorum (common house spider), 811 nucleotides long. The record is from RefSeq and is a predicted model, not a curated record. NCBI's taxonomy places the organism in Eukaryota, Metazoa, Arthropoda, Arachnida, Araneae, Theridiidae.